UUUUGUGUUUGGAGGGGGCUCUGUUGUUGAGCUUGCGACUUGGCUAUGGGGACCAACGCCAUGGGCGCGGCACGACAGGACCGCGCUGCGCAGGUCGCAUCGCACCACACUCGUCUGCAGAAAUCCGUCCUCGCUUGGGAUUAUAUUCGCAUCGUCACAGAAGAUAAGGCCAACCAGAAGAAGAGGAAGGCAUCAGAUUUAGCUAAAGGGUCUGCACUGCGUAAUGUUCCUGAUAAAUUUAAGGACCUCGAUGAAUAUCUAGAGGUUUUUGAGUCUCUACUUCUCGAGGAAUGUCGUGCGCAAAUUCUGCGUGGGGAUGAAGAAGAAGGUGCAAGACAAUGCCAUAUGGUGGCAGUGAUUCAAUGCGAGAGAGUCAACGAAUUUCACUUCGUAAAACUCGCCAUUGAUGCUGGGGAAUGUCAAGAGUACUAUGAGAACGAUCUGGUGCUUUUAAGCAAAGAGCAGCUAGGGCAAGGGAAGUUGCCGAGUACGUAUGCUCUUGCAAAUGUGGAAAGUCGGGAGGGCCAACAAGCUUUACGGAUACGCAUGUAUCUGGAUAAGGAAGCUGAGACGGGGAUCUCAAUUGAGAAUGACGCUUCAGAUAAAGUGCUCGCAUCUCUUUCAGGCCCGAAAACUGCCUGGUGGAUCCUUAAGCUAUGCAACAUGUCAACGAUAUCACGAGAGUAUACCUCGCUUCGAUCAGUAGGCACGCUACCAUUCGUUAAGACCAUUCUUUCUGCUAGUCUCGUUGAAUCUGAUGACCCCGAAUCAGCAAAAGAUUCAGGUCAAUGGACCAUUCCUCCUUCGUUGUUGGAUCACUUAAAUCAUACUCAUAAUGUAUCCCAGCUUCAGGCUAUCCAGGCUGGUUGUUCACGUGAUCCUUUGGUCCUUAUCCAGGGGCCACCUGGAACAGGCAAGACACAAACUAUCCUUGGCCUUCUCAGCGUUGUUUUGCACUCCACACCGGUUAGACAGCCUUUCAAGAAUGGUGAUGUAUCUAUCCAACACAAGCUGGAACUCACAUCUACGAAGAGGAUGGAUCACUGGAUAAAGGCUUCACCGUGGCUAAAUGAAAGUGUGAACCCUCGAGAUCUCAUCAUGCCCAUGGACGGUGAUGAUGGGUUCUUUCCCACCUCUACCAAUCAGUUUCGGCCAGAGAGUAUUGCAGCUAAGCGGAAGCAUCGCAAACACGUGUUAGUGUGUGCUCCAUCGAAUUCAGCUUUGGAUGAAAUAGUGUUGCGUCUAUUGAACACAGGACUUCGGGAUGAAAAUGGACAAGCUUAUACACCAAACGUAGUCAGAGUGGGCCUUAAUGCACAUCAUUCAGUGUCUGCUGUUACCAUGGACACUCUAGUCAAUCAACGUUUGAGCGGUGUGCAAAAGUCAGUUGUAUCAGCUGGUCCCAAGGCUAGUGCUGGAAUGGAACGUGACCGUUGUCGAAUUUCCAUAUUAGACGAAGCGGCCAUUGUAUGUUCUACGUUGAGCUUCAGUGGCGCAGGCGUUUUCUUGCGAAUGAAUCGUGGCUUUGAUGUUGUUAUCAUUGAUGAGGCAGCCCAGGCGGUGGAGCCAUCAACACUUGUACCGCUUGUUCAUGGUUGUCGGCAAGUGUUUCUGGUUGGAGAUCCACUGCAACUGCCAGCCACUGUUUUAUCCACUAAAGCAGUUUCUCAUGGGUAUGGGAUGAGCAUGUUUAAGCGAUUGCAGAAGGCUGGAUAUCCUGUAAAAAUGCUGAAAACGCAGUAUCGUAUGCAUCCCCUGAUCCGCGCUUUUCCAUCAAAAGAAUUUUAUGAGGGGGCAUUAGAGGAUGGUGAUGACGUGGAAAGAGUGACAAGUCGUCCGUGGCACGAACACCGAUGUUUUGGGCCUUACACUUUUUUCGACAUAGAUGGUGAAGAGAGUCAACCUCCAGGAAGUGGGUCCUGGGUCAACAAAGAUGAAGUUGAGUUUGUUCUAGUAUUGUAUAGGCAUCUGGUCGCCUUAUAUCCAGAAUUGAAAGGUUCUCCUACUGUUGCUGUGAUAUCUCCAUACAAGCUCCAAGUCAAAUUACUUCGCCAACGCUUUACUGAGGUCCUUGGAAAAGAAACUGCUCGUCUUGUUGAUAUCAACACUGUUGAUGGGUUUCAGGGAAGAGAAAAAGAUAUCGCUAUCUUUUCUUGUGUUCGAGCUACAGAAGGAAAAAGCAUAGGGUUUGUUUCUGAUUUUAGACGUAUGAACGUGGGAUUAACCCGAGCUAGGGCAUCUAUGCUGGUUGUAGGAUGUGCAAAAGCUUUAAAGAUUGAUAAGCACUGGAGAAAUCUUGUAACCAGUUCAAUUGAGCGGCAUCGUCUUUACAAGGUGACAAAGCCUUUCCAUGCUUUAUUCAACGAUCAAAGUUUAGAGAAUAUGAAGAAACUUGCGGAGCAAUACGAAGAAGAGGAAGCUAAACGAAAGCUGGCGGAACCCGACACCCCAGCUGUGAUCACUGAUGUAGAAGACACGAACAUGGAUGAACUUCUAGAUGCUUAUGCAGAUGAAGACGUAGAUGAGAUUGCUGAAAAUUUUGGAGAUGUUGACGAGGAUGUAGAAGAUAUUUAAAGGAAACAUGCUUAUUUGCUGAAGUAGUUCUCGACACACUGUGGGUGUAAAGUCGCAGUGGAUAAUGCACUGUAAAACUUCUAGGUGCCAUGCAUUGGUUGGGCUCCAAGACUAAAAAUUUCUCACAUUUAACGUGUAAUCGAUUUCGCAGAACAGGUACCUGGGUACCUACUCGGCUGCGGCUAUCUGUAAUGGAGUUAAUGGAGUAAGCUUGGCGCCAUCGAACUCGUGCGGCGGGAUAGUGCAGAAAUUGGUGUACUGAGCAGCCCUCUCAAUCCACACAUUUGUACAUUGUUGUCUCUAGUAAGCUCUCGACAUUCUCAUAGAUUUGAUACCAAUUUACUUAACUUUGUUUCCAAAUUUCUUCAAAAUCAACAUAAACGUAGAGAUGUGGGGACUGUUGAAGGCACCACUUUCAUUGCACCUUCGAGGUGUAUUUAGAACAGUGUGAUCUAUUUUCUGUUGUAGUACUCAUAUCAACUAAUACUGCAUGUUAACGAAAGUGAGUGCUCCCUCAAGUUCUUGA
Non-coding RNA from Physcomitrium patens, 3100 nucleotides. NCBI's taxonomy places the organism in Eukaryota, Viridiplantae, Streptophyta, Bryopsida, Funariales, Funariaceae. The record is from RefSeq and is a predicted model, not a curated record.